RNAcentral lists this ribosomal RNA (374 nucleotides) under uncultured organism. RNAcentral describes it as "partial 16S ribosomal RNA". It matches the Rfam family "Bacterial small subunit ribosomal RNA", at positions 527 to 896 of the family's 1533-position model. The record is from RNAcentral.
GUAGGUGGCAAGCGUUGUCCGGGAAUUAUUGGGGCGUAAAGCGCGCGCAGGCGGUUCUUUAAGUCUGAUGUGAAAGCCCACGGGCUCAACCGUGGAGGGUCAUUGGAAACUGGAGAACUUGAGUACAGAAGAGGAAAGCGGAAUUCCACGUGUAGCGGUGAAAUGCGUAGAGAUGUGGAGGAACACCAGUGGCGAAGGCGGCUUUCUGGUCUGUAACUGACGCUGAGGCGCGAAAGCGUGGGGAGCAAACAGGAUUAGAUAUUUUGGUAGUCCACGCUGUAAACGAUGAGUGCUAAGUGUUAGGGGGUUUCCGCCCCUUAGUGCUGCAGCUAACGCAUUAAGCACUCCGCCUGGGGAGUACGGCCGCAAGGCUG